CAGUCGCCACGGUAAUACGGAGGGUGCAAGCGUUAAUCGGAAUUACUGGGCGUAAAGCGCACGCAGGCGGUCUGUCAAGUCAGAUGUGAAAUCCCCGGGCUUAACCUGGGAACUGCAUUUGAAACUGGCAGGCUAGAGUCUUGUAGAGGGGGGUAGAAUUCCAGGUGUAGCGGUGAAAUGCGUAGAGAUCUGGAGGGAUACCGGUGGCGAAGGCGGCCCCCUGGACAAAGACUGACGCUCAGGUGCGAAAGCGUGGGGAGCAAACAGGAUUAGAUACCCCUGUAGUCCCUGUCUCUUAUAC
This 301-nucleotide ribosomal RNA is filed under the name uncultured bacterium. RNAcentral's name for it is "partial 16S ribosomal RNA". It matches the Rfam family "Bacterial small subunit ribosomal RNA", at positions 509 to 807 of the family's 1533-position model. The record is from RNAcentral.